This 467-nucleotide ribosomal RNA is filed under the name uncultured bacterium. RNAcentral's name for it is "partial 16S ribosomal RNA". It matches the Rfam family "Bacterial small subunit ribosomal RNA", at positions 28 to 507 of the family's 1533-position model. The record is from RNAcentral.
GACGAACGCUGGCGGCGUGCUUAACACAUGCAAGUCGAACGGAAAGGCUCCAGCUUGCUGGAGUACUCGAGUGGCGAACGGGCGAGUAACACGUGGGUAAUCUGCCCUGCACUCUGGGAUAAGCCUGGGAAACUGGGUCUAAUACUGGAUAUGACCUUUCUCCUUAUGGGGUUUGGUGGAAAGUUUUUCGGUGUAGGAUGAGCCCGCGGCCUAUCAGCUUGUUGGUGGGGUGAUGGCCUACCAAGGCGACGACGGGUAGCCGGCCUGAGAGGGUGAUCGGCCACAUUGGGACUGAGAUACGGCCCAGACUCCUACGGGAGGCAGCAGUGGGGAAUAUUGCACAAUGGGCGGAAGCCUGAUGCAGCGACGCCGCGUGAGGGAUGACGGCCUUCGGGUUGUAAACCUCUUUCAGCAGGGACGAAGCGUAAGUGACGGUACCUGCAGAAGAAGCACCGGCUAACUACGUG